This 429-nucleotide ribosomal RNA is filed under the name Actinomycetes bacterium. Its description in RNAcentral is "Actinobacteria bacterium partial 16S ribosomal RNA". It matches the Rfam family "Bacterial small subunit ribosomal RNA", at positions 355 to 776 of the family's 1533-position model. Lineage: Bacteria; Bacillati; Actinomycetota; Actinomycetes. The record is from RNAcentral.
UAGGGAAUCUUCCGCAAUGGGCGAAAGCUUGACGGAGCAACGCCGCGUGAGUGAUGAAGGUCUUCGGAUCGUAAAACUCUGUUAUUAGGGAAGAACAAAUGUGUAAGUAACUAUGCACGUCUUGACGGUACCUAAUCAGAAAGCCACGGCUAACUACGUGCCAGCAGCCGCGGUAAUACGUAGGUGGCAAGCGUUAUCCGGAAUUAUUGGGCGUAAAGCGCGCGUAGGCGGUUUUUUAAGUCUGAUGUGAAAGCCCACGGCUCAACCGUGGAGGGUCAUUGGAAACUUGAAAACUUGAGUGCAGAAGAGUAAAGUGGAAUUCCAUGUGUAGCGGUGAAAUGCGCAGGGAUAUGGAGGAACACCAGUGGCGAAGGCGACUUUCUGGUCUGUUACUGUCGCUGAUGUGCGAAAGCGUGGGGAUCAAACAGG